AUUUAAGUAGCUUAAAUUUAAAGUGUAAUAUUGAAGCUAUUAAGAUAGGAUAUCCUCUUAAAUA
RNAcentral lists this transfer RNA (64 nucleotides) under Neomegalotomus parvus. Its description in RNAcentral is "tRNA-Phe". The record is from RNAcentral. Lineage: Eukaryota; Metazoa; Arthropoda; Insecta; Hemiptera; Alydidae.